GAUUGCUGGGAUGAGAGGUCAUCUGCAAGCCGUGCUCUGAAUCCUUCACUAACAGAAAUUCCAGCUAGCUGCUUGUCCAGGGCCUGCUCUCCCUUCAGUUUCUGCAGGGCUCCAAGGGAUGGCAUGCUGAACUCAUCAGGUUCCACAGUGUUUUCUCCAUCCUGCAGUAUGUGCAGCACAUAAGUAAAUCUAUUCAAGCAGAUACUGUUCGAGACUGCAAAGUCCAAGAAAGGGAGUAGGAUGCGAUCGGCACUAUCCUGGGUAUGAUGCCUGUGCAAACCUUUUGUGUUGCCAUUUCCUCUAUUACAUUAAGGAUGUAGCCGCCUUCUGUCCGGAAAAUACUGACUCAAGUCACCUCUUGAUCUGUGCGGUACGUGAUGCGUCAUGACACUAAAUCCACAGAUAUUCAAAUCAGAUUGGAAACAUGACCUUUUGAACUGAUCCAAUUUUAGUCAACGUAUUGUCAAUGUCUUCUUCUCUUGU
Molecule: long non-coding RNA, 483 nt
Filed under: Coccomyxa subellipsoidea
Lineage: Eukaryota; Viridiplantae; Chlorophyta; Trebouxiophyceae; Coccomyxaceae
Description: long non-coding RNA (CSUB_LNC000539)
Source: RNAcentral